This 1046-nucleotide long non-coding RNA is filed under the name Felis catus (domestic cat). RNAcentral's name for it is "lncRNA (ENSFCAG00000044816.2)". Lineage: Eukaryota; Metazoa; Chordata; Mammalia; Carnivora; Felidae. The record is from RNAcentral.
UUGAGAAACCACGAGCGCUGGACAACACAGCUCUGUGGCCAGGCCUCAGAUGGCCUCACGGCUCCUGGGGACAUCAUUCACUUCUCAGGGUUGGUGGCUUUCCUCAGGGUCCCGUUUCUUGGCAAGGAGUAAGGACGUUCCUGGGCAAAAGAAAGGUGCUAGGACUCAAAACAGCAUCCUGCUGCACCCAGAGAACUUUGCGUUUAUCCAAAGCUAAUUGGACACCUGGAGAGUACGUGUGAACAGAAUUGCCUUACUAUUUUUAAAAUCGGUCUUCAAACCAAGUCCCAGAAGAGAGAAAGAACGUUGGGAACGACUGCCUGACGCUCAACAUCCACCUUGCCUGAUGAUCAGGGGUAUAUAAUCCUGACUACGCUACUAUCAUCCCGAUGUCCAGGCUGAUCACAGAACAAAUCCUCAUAGAUCUUUGCUUCUCAUGGUUGUCAUUUUCAUGCCAAACUCAGCCUGAUGACACUUGUGCUUUCUGGAACACUGAUGGACGUCAAGGCAGAGAGAGAACAGAGCACAUGAUGAAGGAUGCAUCGCCUCAUAGAUCGAUGCCUGGAAGUGUAACUUGUCGCUUUCACAUUUCAUUGGCCAAAGACAGGUUGCCCUGUGUGAGUUCAGGAAAUCGGGGAAAUAAAAUUCUACUGAGGGAGGACAGUGGCUACUGUUUUAUUCUGCCAAAAGAUAGAGGAACUAAGUCUUCUAGAUAGAAAAAUAUAGAUCAAUUUAUGAUAUUUAAGCGAAAAUUGAGUCACCUGGGUGGCUCAGGCAGUUAAGUGACUGACUCUUGAUUGCGGCUCAGGUCACGAUCUCACGGUUUGUGGGUUUGAGCCCUGCAAGGAGCUCCAUGAUGAGCGUGGAGCCUGCUUGGGAUUCUCUCUCCCUCUCUCUCUGCCCCUUCCCUGCUCGCAUACACUCUCUCUCUCUCCCUCUCUCAAUAUAAAUAAGUAAACUCAAAAAAAGAGUCAGCUUCUGACCCUCAGUUAAAGAAAAAAGCAAAAUAUCCCAGAAAUACGUGCAUGCAUACUGUUCCCUAACAA